UACGUAGGGGGCAAGCGUUAUCCGGAUUCACUGGGUGUAAAGGGGGCGUAGACGGCGACGCAAGUCUGGAGUGAAAGCCCGGGGCCCAACCCCGGGACUGCUCUGGAAACUGCGGCGCUGGAGUACGGGAGGGGCAGGCGGAAUUCCUGGUGUAGCGGUGAAAUGCGUAGAUAUCAGGAGGAACACCGGCGGCGAAGGCGGCCUGCUGGACCGUGACUGACGUUGAGGCUCGAGAGCGUGGGGAGCAAACAGG
RNAcentral lists this ribosomal RNA (253 nucleotides) under uncultured bacterium. RNAcentral's name for it is "partial 16S ribosomal RNA". It matches the Rfam family "Bacterial small subunit ribosomal RNA", at positions 524 to 776 of the family's 1533-position model. The record is from RNAcentral.